GACGGAGGGGGCUAGCGUUGUUCGGAAUUACUGGGCGUAAAGGGCGCGUAGGCGGUUUUUUAAGUGAGGCGUGAAAGCCCUGGGCUUAACCCAGGAGGUGCGUUUCAUACUGGAAAGCUUGAGUACGAGAGAGGAAAGUGGAAUUCCUAGUGUAGAGGUGAAAUUCGUAGAUAUUAGGAAGAACACCAGAGGCGAAGGCGGCUUUCUGGCUCGUAACUGACGCUGAGGAGCGAAAGCGUGGGGAGCAAACAGG
This 253-nucleotide ribosomal RNA is filed under the name uncultured bacterium. RNAcentral describes it as "partial 16S ribosomal RNA". It matches the Rfam family "Bacterial small subunit ribosomal RNA", at positions 524 to 776 of the family's 1533-position model. The record is from RNAcentral.